Molecule: ribosomal RNA, 256 nt
Filed under: uncultured bacterium
Lineage: Bacteria
Description: partial 16S ribosomal RNA
Rfam family: Bacterial small subunit ribosomal RNA
Source: RNAcentral
UACGGAGGGUGCGAGCGUUGUCCGGAAUCACUGGGCGUAAAGGGCGCGUAGGCGGUGCGAGAAGCGUGUGGUGAAAGGCCGGGGCUCAACCCCGGCUCGGCCGUGCGGACUCUCGCGCUUGGUGAGUGCUGUAGAGGCGGGCGGAAUUCCGAGUGUAGAGGUGAAAUUCGUAGAUAUUCGGAAGAACACCAGUGGCGAAGGCGACUUACUGGACACAUACUGACGCUGAGGUGCGAAAGCGUGGGGAGCAAACAGG